AGAGUUUGAUCAUGGCUCAGAACGAACGCUGGCGGCAGGCCUAACACAUGCAAGUCGAGCGAACCCUUCGGGGUUAGCGGCGGACGGGUUAGUAACGCGUGGGAAUAUGCCCAAAGGUACGGAAUAGCCUCGGGAAACUGAGAGUAAUACCGUAUGUGCCCUUCGGGGGAAAGAUUUAUCGCCUUUGGAUUAGCCCGCGUUGGAUUAGGUAGUUGGUGGGGUAAUGGCCUACCAAGCCGACGAUCCAUAGCUGGUUUGAGAGGAUGAUCAGCAACACUGGGACUGAGACACGGCCCAGACUCCUACGGGAGGCAGCAGUGGGGAAUCUUAGACAAUGGGGGAAACCCUGAUCUAGCCAUGCCGCGUGGACGAUGAAGGCCUUAGGGUUGUAAAGUCCUUUCAGCUGGGAAGAUAAUGACUGUACCAGCAGAAGAAGCCCCGGCUAACUCCGUGCCAGCAGCCGCGGUAAUACGGAGGGGGCUAGCGUUGUUCGGAAUUACUGGGCGUAAAGCGCACGUAGGCGGAUUGUUAAGUCGGGGGUGAAAUCCCGGGGCUCAACCCCGGAACUGCCUCCGAUACUGGCAAUCUAGAGUUCUGGAGAGGUGAGUGGAAUUCUGAGUGUAGAGGUGAAAUUCGUAGAUAUUCGGAGGAACACCAGUGGCGAAGGC
Molecule: ribosomal RNA, 668 nt
Filed under: uncultured bacterium
Lineage: Bacteria
Description: bacterial SSU rRNA
Rfam family: Bacterial small subunit ribosomal RNA
Source: RNAcentral